RNAcentral lists this ribosomal RNA (429 nucleotides) under bacterium. RNAcentral's name for it is "partial 16S ribosomal RNA". It matches the Rfam family "Bacterial small subunit ribosomal RNA", at positions 355 to 776 of the family's 1533-position model. The record is from RNAcentral.
UGGGGAAUCUUCCGCAAUGGACGAAAAUCUGACGGAGCAACGCCGCGUGAGUGAUGACGGCCUUCGGGUUGUAAAGCUCUGUUAAUCGGGACGAAUGGUUCUUGUGCGAAUAGUGCAAGGAUUUGACGGUACCGGAAUAGAAAGCCACGGCUAACUACGUGCCAGCAGCCGCGGUAAUACGUAGGUGGCAAGCGUUGUCCGGAAUUAUUGGGCGUAAAGCGCGCGCAGGCGGAUUGGUCAGUCUGUCUUAAAAGUUCGGGGCUUAACCCCGUGAUGGGAUGGAAACUGCCAAUCUAGAGUAUCGGAGAGGAAAGUGGAAUUCCUAGUGUAGCGGUGAAAUGCGUAGAUAUUAGGAAGAACACCAGUGGCGAAGGCGACUUUCUGGACGAAAACUGACGCUGAGGCGCGAAAGCCAGGGGAGCGAACGGG